CUGUCGUGCACUCACUGCCGCACGCCGGAAUGUUCACUAGAGUGUACCUGUGCUUGUGUGGUGACUGUUAUCAAAACGAUGUUUAGAGAGAUAAUUUUUAAAUACACACACCGUCUGCCUUUGGAUAGAGUGGGAUCAGACGGGCAAUUUAUUUUACCACAGUAGACAAUUAUUCUUAAUUGAGUGUUCAAAAUUGGACUUUUAAACAACAGAUUUAUCGGUUAAACGGACUGGACUGCAAUGAUUAAUUCAAGCAACUUUCAGGCGUCAGCCGGUCGUCAGUUGUCAAAGGACUCCGGAUGCAUCCAUGCGGAAAACCGUUCCGAAUUCAACGCCAUGCAUAAUUGAUUAAAUCUUUAUUCAUCGCGACAUCUCUCUGAAGCGCUUUCAAAGUGAAUAUGAUUUGAAUAUAAAUUAAUUAAACUCUGCAUGUAUACUAGGAUCAUGCAAUGAUACUGUAACAAAGUUGAUGUAAUACAUUCAUCACAUGAAUAAAAUAUGCAUAAGUAAGUA
Long non-coding RNA from Dalotia coriaria, 513 nucleotides. RefSeq lists it as uncharacterized. The transcript is spliced from 2 exons. NCBI's taxonomy places the organism in Eukaryota, Metazoa, Arthropoda, Insecta, Coleoptera, Staphylinidae. The record is from RefSeq and is a predicted model, not a curated record.